CAGCAGCCGCGGUAAUGCGUAGGGUGCAAGCGUUAAUCGGAAUUACUGGGCGUAAAGCGUGCGCAGGCGGUUUGUUAAGACAGAUGUGAAAUCCCCGGGCUCAACCUGGGAACUGCAUUUGUGACUGGCAAGCUAGAGUGUGGCAGAGGGGGGUGGAAUUCCGCGUGUAGCAGUGAAAUGCGUAGAUAUGCGGAGGAACACCGAUGGCGAAGGCAGCCCCCUGGGCCAAUACUGACGCUCAUGCACGAAAACGUGGGGAGCAAACAGGAUUAGAUACCCCAGUAGUCCCUGUCUCUUAUAC
Molecule: ribosomal RNA, 301 nt
Filed under: uncultured bacterium
Lineage: Bacteria
Description: partial 16S ribosomal RNA
Rfam family: Bacterial small subunit ribosomal RNA
Source: RNAcentral